Molecule: ribosomal RNA, 314 nt
Filed under: uncultured eukaryote
Lineage: Eukaryota
Description: partial 18S ribosomal RNA
Rfam family: Eukaryotic small subunit ribosomal RNA
Source: RNAcentral
CCCUUAGAUGUUCUGGGCCGCACGCGCGCUACACUGACGGAGGCAGCGAGCAUGUCCUUCGCCGAGAGGUGUGGGGAAUCUUGUGAGUCUCCGUCGUGCUGGGGAUAGAUGGUUGCAAUUAUCAAUCUUGAACGAGGAAUUCCUAGUAAAAAUAUUUCAUCAUAAUGUUUUGAUUGUGUCCCUGCCCUUUGUACACACCGCCCGUCGCUCCUACCGAUUGAAUGGUCCGGUGAAGCCUCGGGAUUGCGAAUGCUUCGUGCGGACGCGAGAACUUGGCUAAACCUUACCAUUUAGAGGAAGGUGAAGUCGUAACA